This 84-nucleotide non-coding RNA is filed under the name Mesobacillus persicus. RNAcentral's name for it is "Bacillus sp. B48(2010) c-di-GMP-I riboswitch aptamer". It matches the Rfam family "c-di-GMP-I riboswitch aptamer". Rfam says of the family: GEMM was predicted in a large-scale screen for bacterial structured RNA regulatory elements. Genes associated with GEMM are involved in a diverse array of functions, including chemotaxis regulation, signal transduction, secretion and chitin. Lineage: Bacteria; Bacillati; Bacillota; Bacilli; Caryophanales; Bacillaceae. The record is from Rfam by way of RNAcentral.
UUUGAAAAAAGGCAAAUCUAUCGAAAGGUGGAGACGCAAAGUUACAGGUCUAAGGUAUUUUACUAGGACGGCUGGGCUACCAAA